RNAcentral lists this non-coding RNA (935 nucleotides) under Cellulomonas carbonis T26. RNAcentral describes it as "Cellulomonas sp. T26 Bacterial small subunit ribosomal RNA". It matches the Rfam family "Bacterial small subunit ribosomal RNA", at positions 1 to 927 of the family's 1533-position model. The record is from Rfam by way of RNAcentral. Lineage: Bacteria; Bacillati; Actinomycetota; Actinomycetes; Micrococcales; Cellulomonadaceae.
ACAAUGGAGAGUUUGAUCCUGGCUCAGGAUGAACGCUAGCUACAGGCUUAACACAUGCAAGUCGAGGGGCAGCAUUAUCGAAGCUUGCUUUGAUAGAUGGCGACCGGCGCACGGGUGAGUAACGCGUAUCCAACCUUCCCCAUAGUCAGGAAUAGCCCGGCGAAAGUCGAAUUAAUGCCUGAUGUUUUCCACGGACGGCAUCAGAUGUGGAACAAAGAUUCAUCGCUAUGGGAUGGGGAUGCGUCUGAUUAGCUUGUUGGCGGGGUAACGGCCCACCAAGGCAACGAUCAGUAGGGGUUCUGAGAGGAAGGUCCCCCACAUUGGAACUGAGACACGGUCCAAACUCCUACGGGAGGCAGCAGUGAGGAAUAUUGGUCAAUGGGCGGAAGCCUGAACCAGCCAAGUAGCGUGAGGGACGACUGCCCUAUGGGUUGUAAACCUCUUUUAUAAGGGAAUAAAAUACGGGACGUGUCCUGUUUUGCAUGUACCUUAUGAAUAAGGACCGGCUAAUUCCGUGCCAGCAGCCGCGGUAAUACGGAAGGUCCAGGCGUUAUCCGGAUUUAUUGGGUUUAAAGGGAGCGCAGGCGGUCUUAUAAGCGUGACGUGAAAUGCAGCGGCUCAACCGUAUGAUGUGCGUCGCGAACUGUAGGACUUGAGUGUAUUCGAUGUCAGCGGAAUUUGUGGUGUAGCGGUGAAAUGCUUAGAUAUCACGAAGAACUCCGAUUGCGAAGGCAGCUGACAAGGCUACAACUGACGCUAAAGCUCGAAAGUGCGGGUAUCGAACAGGAUUAGAUACCCUGGUAGUCCGCACGGUAAACGAUGGAUGCCCGGUGUUUGCGAUAUACAGUGAGCGCCCAAGCGAAAGCGUUAAGCAUCCCACCUGGGGAGUACGCCGGCAACGGUGAAACUCAAAGGAAUUGACGGGGGCCCGCACA